This 468-nucleotide ribosomal RNA is filed under the name uncultured bacterium. RNAcentral's name for it is "partial 16S ribosomal RNA". It matches the Rfam family "Bacterial small subunit ribosomal RNA", at positions 28 to 507 of the family's 1533-position model. The record is from RNAcentral.
GACGAACGCUGGCGGCGUGCUUAACACAUGCAAGUCGAACGGAAAGGCCCUGCUUUUGUGGGGUGCUCGAGUGGCGAACGGGUGAGUAACACGUGAGUAACCUGCCCUUGACUUUGGGAUAACUUCAGGAAACUGGGGCUAAUACCGGAUAGGAGCUCCUGCUGCAUGGUGGGGGUUGGAAAGUUUCGGCGGUUGGGGAUGGACUCGCGGCUUAUCAGCUUGUUGGUGGGGUAGUGGCUUACCAAGGCUUUGACGGGUAGCCGGCCUGAGAGGGUGACCGGCCACAUUGGGACUGAGAUACGGACCAGACUCCUACGGGAGGCAGCAGUGGGGAAUAUUGCACAAUGGGCGGAAGCCUGAUGCAGCAACGCAGCGUGCGGGAUGACGGCCUUCGGGUUGUAAACCGCUUUCGCCUGUGACGAAGCGUGAGUGACGGUAAUGGGUAAAGAAGCACCGGCUAACUACGUG